GCCUACCCAUGGCAUAGAUCAAUGGGUUAGUGCAUCCAGCUGUCAACCAGAAGGUUGGUUGUUCGAGCCCACCUUGGGGCG
Molecule: non-coding RNA, 81 nt
Organism: Podarcis lilfordi (Lilford's wall lizard)
Lineage: Eukaryota; Metazoa; Chordata; Lepidosauria; Squamata; Lacertidae
Source: the annotation of a GenBank genome assembly